AAUCUGUCAUGUGAAAGGGGAGACACGGAGGGAGAAAGGAGGUAAUUGGAAUUGAGCUUCACUUGAGACUUUUCAUCCAGCGGGAAGUGUAGCUAGAGAAAUACGGAGCAGAGCCAUCCCCAAGGGGCUGAAUGAGGUUUCAUUGGCUCUGCUGAAUUGGAUAAAUCCUCAGGAACACACACAUGUUCCCAACGGAAAGACUGAGAGGUUACUCUGUGUCAAUAACAGCAAGUGAGAGAAAAACCUAAGAGGCUUCCCUUGUAAUCCUAAUAUAAGAUACAGUGUAAUGGAGCAGGUAGGAGUGAAAGGUCUGG
This is a long non-coding RNA of Ailuropoda melanoleuca (giant panda), 314 nucleotides long. RefSeq lists it as uncharacterized. The record is from RefSeq and is a predicted model, not a curated record. Lineage: Eukaryota; Metazoa; Chordata; Mammalia; Carnivora; Ursidae. The transcript has 3 exons.